GUCCUCGGGGGUCCAGCGGGACCGAGUCAUUGGAACCAGAACACCUGGCGGAAGCAUGCCAUAUCACUAGAAGGAUUUUCUUUCUCUUCGCCUUCUGUUCCUUCCUUCCUUUCCUUUUUCUAAGAGGGCUGGAAUUGGCUGCCUGUGUGAGCCGAGGAGCUGGGCGGGAGAGGAAAGCCGCCCCGCUCUCUCCCCUGCCCGAGGUCUCCAGCUCCCGCGCUGCAGCCGGACUCGCUCCCGUUCCUCGGCCUCUCGGCCUCCCGCUCCCAUCGGUUUUUCCUCCCUCCACCAUCUUCUCGGUUUAAUUAAAGUUCAGCGACUCCACUUGCCUUUCCUUCCACUCUCGUGUUGUGUUUUGUUUUGUUUUGUUUUUUCUCGGAAAGCAGACAGCAGACGGCCCAGCGGCCACGGGCCCAGCGGCCCCAGCACAGCCCGGGCCUGCCGCCGGUGGGGCCUCCCCUAGCCGGCCUCCCUCCGGCGACCGCCUUCUGGACCGGGCCCCCUGCCACUCCACCGUCCGGAAGGUGUGCAGCCGCUGGCCUGGGGGAUCUGAACGCCGGGGGCUGGGGUAAGAGUGUCCUGUCUGCCCCUGUACCCCCAGGCUUGCUCCAGAGAGUUUGAAGGGUGUCUACCCGGCCUCAGACAACCCGCUCCCCCAAACCCAUGACCAACUAAUCUAUGACAAAAGCCCGUGAUGGAUUUGGUAUAUGUUAAUUCACAAUGCCCUUUCCUCCAGAAUUUAACUAUAAGUUAAUACACACCGGAAACCACGCGCAUACACGGCCGUUAAUGGGCUUAGGUAUUAGCGAGUCCUAACGAUGCAUACAGAUGUGCUCUGCGCUCUGUAGGCCCCUCAAGAUUUAUGGGCCUUGAGCUCUCUGAAGCUGUAAACAAGGAGAAAAAAGAGAAAGAGAGAGAGACUGGGGAAAAGAGACAGGGGCCUGACUCACCCUUCCAGGUUGUGGGAGAGAAGGGAUCUUUGCAAGUGGGUUUCACUUAUUUUCCUUUCCUUACCAGCUCCCCUCGCUCACUCGUGGGUUUUGGCAGGGUCUGGGGGUGGUGUUUGUGCCUGAAAGCUGGUGUGCGCGCGGCAGUGUGUUGUUUGCAUGCUGGGGUAGGCGAUGUCUGCCUCCUGUGAAUUGCUGUGCAGGGCCUGAAUGGAGCAGGCACUUGUGGGCAUAUGCUAUGUGUGCACACCUGCAAGGUGUGUGUGUGUGUGUGUGUGUGUGUGUGUGUGUGUGUGUGUACACGUGUGACAAGCAGGCUUCCCUCUGGGUCUGGCUGCUGUACCUGAACCCAGUGAACAAAUCUCCAACAACAAUCAUAAUAACGAUAAAUAAAAACAGUAGUUAACAGCCCCUCCCUAGCAGGAUAACAGUAAAAUGCAAGAGGAGAUAUUUUAAAGAGGGGAUGGGGAAGGGGUCAUGGUCACAGAAUCUGAGGGGAAGACAGGAAAAGAAGUUAGCUUCUUCGUAUAUCCUUGGGGGCUGGGUUUGGGACCCCCCAGAGGAGGUUCUUCAGCCAGAGGAGCCGAGGGAGGCCAGGAGGCCGAUCUUUCCUGCUGCUUUUUUCCAGCUUUUGCUUCGUGUGAUCAGGGGAGGGCUGGUGGCUUUGGGGACUUUCUGAAGCCCCUGUUUUAAAGAGAAGACCAACCAUGUAGGGUCAGGCCAAGGGACAGACAUGGAUAAGGCAAUGACCACAGCUGGGCCCAUUGUGCCGGGAGGUGGAGGUGCCCUGGAGGACGAGCGCGGCCCGGCCAGGCAGGGGUGGGAUUUAUGGCCGCGGAGAGAGGGGAGAGCAAGGGCAGGGCUCCGGUAGGCCCAGCGAAAGUUCCCUUCCAAGGGUCUUUGGAGAGAGAGAGAGAGAGAGAGAGAGAGAGAGAGAGAGAAAGGAAAAAGAAGAAGGAGAAAGGGGUGGAGGCCCGUUGAAAUUUCCUUGGCUCGCGCUAGAACAGAGCGAAUUUCCCUAACGGAAGAGAAGACACGGUCCGGAUCCUUCCAUGGACGCCUCACUCUCUCCAGCCGGUGACCCAUCUGGUCAGAAAAGAGACGGAGAGAUACGCUUCCCACCGCGUCACUCCUUUGAAAGCAGUGCACACACCGAUUCCACAGAGAACCGGGGCAUCCUCGAAUUUGAAAACCACACGGGGUGGAGGACACUACGGCCUCUCCGCUUGCCCGAGCUCUCGGCCACCAGGAGACGGACACAGAAGGAGCGUGUGGGCUGCCGACUCCUGCAGGGCUUCCCAGAGUCCAGCCACCUCAACCCUCCUUGGGGGGAAUAUCGGUGCCAGACACCUCUGUGCCCUGUCAGAUGUGACUGCGCUCACGUCAGGAUUGUCUUACAAAGAAGAAGAAGAAAAGCCGGGUGUUUAUAGCUAGUUCUACUGAUCCGUUCACAUCUGGAGAGUUUAUUUAUAACUCCCACUAGAACUCUCUCUGUUUGGAAGCACUGGUGGCUCUAUUGACAGACUGAUGCCUAGAAAAUAUUGCUCUAUCUCUAACCAUACCUAAAUGUGCUGUGGUUGUAUUUACAGAUUUAUGCUCGAGGAAAAUAUAAUUAUUUCCAUUGUGUUUGUGCAUAUACAAUAGUUACAGGAGCAGAUUUAUAUAUGGGAAAAUAUACGACUCUCUUAUAGCCAUCCAGCUUUAUGGACAUUUGAUAUCCUGACAGAUUUAUAUCUCUGAGCAGCUAUAUAGAUAAAUGUAUAUCGUUGGAAUUACAUACCAGGAGAUAUAUACUUAUUGAUUGUGAUAUAGAGUGGUUAGAGCAUUCACUUAAA
Molecule: long non-coding RNA, 2782 nt
Organism: Myotis daubentonii (Daubenton's bat)
Lineage: Eukaryota; Metazoa; Chordata; Mammalia; Chiroptera; Vespertilionidae
Source: RefSeq, a predicted model, not a curated record